AGUUUGAUUCUUGCUUAUGUCAUUUAUUGUUUUUUUGUUUUAUAUGUAAGUUUUUGCGUGAGUUUGCUUGGUGUUUUUAAUAGGUUUGUGGGCGCUUGUUAUUUUUAAUUCUCAUUAUUUAUUAUUAGUAUUUCAAGGUUUCUUGUAACUAGCAAUUUAUUUUAGUUCCGGUUAAGUUUUGUGCCAGCAUCCGCGGUUAUACUUUGGGGGCUUAUUAAUGUGUUUGGAGUUGUAGUCAUAUGUUGUAAAUUCUUAGAUUGUUUUAUUUAUUGUUUAUUGGGUGAAAUUUUUAUUUUAUGUGAUUUCUUUUGUUGUUUUGGUUGAAAGUUGAUUUCUAUGAGACUCAUUGUUUAAACUAGGAUUAGAUACCCUAUUAUUUUGAGUAUUAAUUUGAAUUUCUUAGGUAGUAUUAGUUAUGUUCUUGAAACCUAAAGAAUUUGGCGGUAUUUUAUUCCGAUCAGAGGAAUCUGCCCCGUUAUCGAUAAUCCGCGUUGUACCUUACUUAAAGUUAGUAUUGUUUGUAUACCGCCGUAUAUUGAUUAUCAUUUUAGUGUUGAUUUUCUUGUUUCUUAAUUUGGUUAUAUUUCAGGUCAAGGUGCAGCUUUUAUUUAAGUGUGAGGUGGAUUACAUUGUGUUUUUGUUAUUUGGAUUGUUUGUUGUUAAGUAUUUGCAUGAAAUUGGAUUUGAUUGUAAUGGUUAUGAAGAUUAUUUUCAUGAUAAUUGGUUCUAAAAUAUGUACACAUCGCCCGUCGCUCUCGUUAUUUAUUAAUGAGAUAAGUCGUAACAAAGUGGUCGUACCGGAAGGUGUGGCUGGAUUG
RNAcentral lists this non-coding RNA (818 nucleotides) under Acorhinotermes subfusciceps. Lineage: Eukaryota; Metazoa; Arthropoda; Insecta; Blattodea; Rhinotermitidae. The record is from RNAcentral.